GCGGAGAUGGCCGAGGGGCUUAGGCGCUCGCCUGCAGAGCGAGUUACCCGGGUUCGACUCCCGGUCUCCGCU
RNAcentral lists this transfer RNA (72 nucleotides) under marine sediment metagenome. It matches the Rfam family "tRNA". Rfam says of the family: Transfer RNA (tRNA) molecules are approximately 80 nucleotides in length. Their secondary structure includes four short double-helical elements and three loops (D, anti-codon, and T loops). Further hydrogen bonds mediate the characteristic L-shaped molecular structure. tRNAs have two regions of fundamental functional importance: the anti-codon, which is responsible for specific mRNA codon recognition, and the 3' end, to which the tRNAs corresponding amino acid is attached (by aminoacyl-tRNA synthetases). tRNAs cope with the degeneracy of the genetic code in two manners: having more than one tRNA (with a specific anti-codon) for a particular amino acid; and 'wobble' base-pairing, i.e. permitting non-standard base-pairing at the 3rd anti-codon position. The record is from RNAcentral.